RNAcentral lists this long non-coding RNA (904 nucleotides) under Homo sapiens (human). Its description in RNAcentral is "non-protein coding lnc-SLC12A7-1:16". The record is from RNAcentral. Lineage: Eukaryota; Metazoa; Chordata; Mammalia; Primates; Hominidae.
AUUCACACACGAACUCACCCAUUCAUUCACACACCCACUCGUUCACACACCCACUCAUUCACACACUUAACUCACCCACUUGUUCACACAUCCACUCCUUCACACACUAACCCACUCAUUCACAUACUAACUCGCCCACUCGUUCACACACUAACUCACCCAUUCAUGCACUCACUCACACACUAACCCACCCAUUCACUAACUCACUCAUUCACACACUAACCCACCCACUCAUUCACACACUAAUCUACCCAUUCAUUCACACACUAACCCACCCACUCAUUCACACACUAACCCAUUCACACACGAUCUCACCCAUUCAUUCACAAACUCACCCACUCGUUCACAGCCACUCAUUCACACACUAACUCACCCACUCAUUCACACACGCACUCAUUCACACCCACUCAUUGACACACUAACUCGCCCACUCGUUCACACACUAACCCCUUCACACACACACUAACCCACCCAUUCACUCACUCAUUCACACACUAACCCACUGAUUCAUUCACACACUAACUCAUUCACACACUAACUCACCCAUUCACACACUAACCCACUCACACCCUAACACCCACUCGCUCACACACCCAGUCAUUUACACACUAAGUCACCCACUCGUUCACACACAUUCACACACGAAUUCACCCAUUCACACACUAACUCGCCCACUGAUUCACAAACUCACCCACUCGUUCACACACUAGCCCACUCGUUCACACACUAACCCACUCACCACCCAUUCACACACCCACUCAUUCACACACUAACCCACUCAUUCACACAUCCACACACUCCCUCUUUCACAAACUCACCCAUUCACACACUAACCCAUUCGUUCACACACCCAUUCACAAACCCAGUCGUUCAUACACCCAUUCACACACUAACUCCCUCAUUC